Non-coding RNA from Lupinus albus (white lupine), 74 nucleotides. Lineage: Eukaryota; Viridiplantae; Streptophyta; Magnoliopsida; Fabales; Fabaceae. The record is from the annotation of a GenBank genome assembly.
AAAGGGUAUAACUCAAGGGUAGAGUAUCACGUUGACACGGUAUAAGUCAUCAGUUCGAGUCUGAUUACUCCUAA